RNA transcript from Halichondria panicea, 4169 nucleotides. It is a transcript of the gene named glucose-6-phosphate exchanger SLC37A4-like, with no coding region annotated. NCBI's taxonomy places the organism in Eukaryota, Metazoa, Porifera, Demospongiae, Suberitida, Halichondriidae. The transcript is spliced from 8 exons. The record is from RefSeq and is a predicted model, not a curated record.
ACUAUUACUUGACAACCUGAGCUAAGACUAAGUCUCCUUUGCAGGAAAAUAACCACAUACUAUAUUAUUAUUGUUUACUUUAUUCUUGUAUAAUUAUACCCUGCGUACGCAUGGCAAAUAAAAAUGAAUACAUGUACUUUCUGGUCACAAUGUAGUCCCAGGCCGAUUUUUUUCUAGAAGGAACAUAAAAUAUUCGACCUAGCAUAUUCAAUUAGAGUAAAGUUACAAAGUUACUAUAAAUACUCUAAUUAUACGAUGACCUUGUCCCCUCUCCCCUGCAGGUGACCUCCAAUGGUAACUGGAUGCACAUUCUCUACCAGUCCAGACUACAAGCUAAGAAGGUGAAAGACCGAUACAAUCAAAGCCAGCUGAAAUACCGUAUAGCGGGUAUAUUUCGAGGGUAUAAAUGUUCGCGGUUUUCGCGGAUUGAGCCUCUACCGCGAAAAUUUAUACCCACGAAAAUUUAUAUCUUUAUUGAAUAGUAGGCGUGUUCAGUAUUAUUGACCACACCUAUCGACAAUAAGAGGUGCCUCACCGUUAUAGGCUAGGCCUGGAUUCGAGGCUAACGGUGUGGUGGUAACAGCUGCAUGUUGAUGUGCGCAUGCGCCAAAAGGCUGGAACUCAGACCACGAAAAUAAAAUCCGCGAAAUCCUUUGUAAUGGUCCAUCUGCGAAAAUUUAUACCCUCGAAAUAUACCCGCUAUACGGUAGUUGCAGUGCUCUGGAGUACAGCAUAUAUUAUGCUGCACUACUAUUAUACUAAUCCCAAGAUACGAAGGUUAAGUUUUAGAAUAGUAGCCUUUUUGCAGCAUGCGUGCGUGCGAUAAAAAUUCGUGAGUAUAAAAUGUUCACAGUGCAUUCUUAUUGCUAACAUUUAUACCCUCAAAAUAUACCUGCUAUAUUUUCUUGGUAUCACAUGUUUACAAAUACAUUGCCUUAAGUAUGUGUCUAGGUGCAGGUGUAGCUGCUGUGGUAAACCUUGGUGAAGCCUGAGGCAUGUUUACCUACCUAGUUGCUGUGGUAAACCUUGGUGAAGCCUGAGGCAUGUUUACCUACCUAGCUGCUGUGGUAAACCUUGGUGAAGCCUGAGGCAUGUUGACCUACUUAGCUGCUGUGGUAAACCUUGGUGAAGCCUGAGGCAUGUUGACCUAGGAUCUCAGUAAGAAUGGUAAAGUCUAUGGAAAUGGGAUCAUGGUGGGAGUACAGCAGUGCAUCGACAAGUCUGUGAUGGAGAGUCGCCUUGCCUCCUCCACCACUCACCCCCUCACUAACCUCACACCCUCCACACCUGGGAAGAGGCCGAUUUCCAUACGCCCACUCACUGCCACCUACCAAUCAGCUGCCAGUCAGUAUCAGAUACUGUGGAGUGUGAUCACUUUCUCUGUCGGAUUCCUCCCUGACGGAAUGAUAGCCAAUGAGCAUUGCGAUGGCUGAUGAACGGUGUUGACGCAAUGUGAUUUCUACCCAGUGCUCUGAAUGUCAACCAAGCGCGGGUAAACGGCGGGUGUAACUAUGACUCUCUUAACAUAGCCAAAUGCCUCGUCAUCUAUAUAAUUAGUGAUGCGCAUGAAUGAAUUAACGAGAUUCCCACUGUCACUAUAAUUAUAUCUACUAUAUGGCGAAACCACAGCCAAGGGAACGGCUCGGCAAAAUCAACAGGUUAAAAAGACCCUGUUGAGCUUGACUCUAGUAAAGAGACAUGAGAGGUGUAGAAUAGGUGGGAGCUUCAGCACCGGUGAAAUACCACUACUUUCAUCGUUUCUUUACUUAUUCGAUAAGGCGGAGCUGGGCUUCACAACCCACCUUCUGGAUUCAAGGUCCUCUCUAAGGGCUUAUCCGAUCAUUGGACUGUGUGGAAUGGAGGUGGCACCACAACACAUGACUGGGAGUGCUCACGGCUUUGUGACUGUCCGUGCUAUUGCUCAAUGUGUGUAAUUGCAGUACUUAAUUAAUCUGCAAAGUUCACCUGUAAAACCUUAAGAUGUCACUUUCCUACCUGUCUAAUAGUAGUGGUCACCUAUUACUUGUGGGGGAAACUUCCCACACUAGUCCUGGUUGGUUAAAUGUAAGUAUGUACAAUUGCUCCAUAUCUGCCAAUUAUGUUAUGGACAUAUAUUCCAUAAUAAUAUUGUUGAUACUGCAUUUGGAUUCACAGGUGGUAUAAAACGACUCAGCUUCAUCAUUUAGUUCAUAGUAGAUCUAUCAGAAAAAAGACAAAAUAAUGUAUCUAGAAGCAGGUCUGCUGCUCCUGCUAGCUCUCCAGUGCCAUAAGCUAGUGCUUGCAUUAGUGACUACAGCUCAGAACGUUUGGCAAGCUGUACAUGCAGGGGAUCAGACACCACUUGAUGCUGGAGCCCCUCUUGAGCGACCUGUGCAGGAGACUGGUCCACCUAUUGGACAUGGAAACACUGUCCUAGAUCUAGUUCAUGCUAGAAUUGCAACUGGUGGAAAUUAUCCAGUAGUGCAGCCUCCUGUUCAAGAGACACAACCAGCUUUCCAGCUGCAAGAUGCCUUGCAACAAUCAGUUGGUGGACUUGGUAUUGCUCAGGAGUCACUGUACCAGAGGAACCUUCCUGCAGCAAUGGUGGUGGCAAGUCUGCAUGUUUAAAUUUAAGGUUCCUGUUCAGAGUGGAAAUUAUCAAUGAGCUGAAACUUUAAAAUCUUACAAAGCAACUGUGACUCUACUACUGUGUGUGUGUGUAUUGCUUUAAUGUUGCAUCUUAUUUUUGUACUGCACAUUGCUUAUAGUUGCACAUCAUUUAUUUUGUCCACGUGUUUUAUCAAAGAUCAUGCAUGGCUAAAACUAGAGCACUAAAGUGCAAACCCUCGGCUGGUGACAUGAUUAUAAAGAAACCAGAAGAGUGAUAUAUUGCAGUGCAUAAUUAUUAUUAUAAUGAUGUUGUUAUCAUAUGUGACAGCUGGGAAAACCAGACUAUUGGAGCAGACUAAAAUUUUGGUGAUUAAUGUACCAAGUGAUAGAGCAGAGCAUCGCCUACACAAUGGUAUGCUUAGUGUUCACAUACCUAGUUUCAUACCCGAGUUAUGCUCGUUAGAAACUCGAAGCCGUAAAAUGUAGUAUCGGCUCUCAAAGAUUGCUCAAUUAGGAAAAAUAAGGUAAUAACGAAAGUUUGGACAAAGCGUUUCGAUGGAAAGAGUUGGAUUUAGAGCAUCAGAUUUUACAGAGAGGUUCCUGUUCAGAGUGGACAAUUAUCAAUGAACUGCAAACUUUAAAAGCUUACAAAGCAACUGUGACUCUACUACUGUCUGUGUGUAUUGCUUUAAUGAUGCAUCUUAUUUUUGUACUGCACAUCGCUUAUAGUUGCACAUCAUUUAUUUUGUCCACGUGUUUUAUCAUCGCUAAAAUAAUGUCUCAAAGUUACUAUUUAAAAAGUUAAAAUACGAUAACCUUGUUCCCCCUCCCGUGCAGGUGACCUCCAAUGGUAACUGGAUGCACAUUCUCUACCAGUCCAGACUACAAGCUAAGAAGGGUCUCCUUUUGGUCAUUAUUACCAAUACGUAUAUAUUUCUGUUACGCUAGUUUUAAACGGGUAUUUACCCUAGUACUGCAUGCUUACCUGUACUUGUUGGGAUUUCUCCUAGGACAUGUACAGCACACACCAUUGUAGCGUGUAAUAUAUACUACCUGCUGAAUACCAUUUGUACUGUGUAUAUUAGCGCUCACAAAAGACUUUUCUUCCCUACAGCCCCUCAGUAGGUUGCCAAUGUCUAUGGUACCUGAAUCUCAUCUCUGUACUCCUUGAGUCUCUUGACAGUCCCUUCCUUACACAACCACACCUCAAGCGCACAAGCUGCUGGUCAUGAGACACUGAACACAAGAAUGCCAAUGGGCACAAUCCCAAUUAACCACGUUGGUAGUGUGUUGGCUGGAUGGUCGCUGGCGUAUGUGAUGGGACAGUACAGUUGGAGCACAGCUUACUGGCUCAUGGAGCUUGUCUCUGUCUCCAUGGUGAUCGGCUAUCUCUACCUACUGUGGGUCAUGAUGAGAUCCAGAGAACCAGUAGGAGGGACCAAGAAACACUAACAUGCUAUAUUCUUAGUUUAACCUCUGUUACCGUAACUUCACGUUUUCAUUGGCAUAUAAUUAAUGACAUGAUUUCUGACAACACAAAUGACACUAUUAAGUAACGAGUGUGAAUCGACCUAAUGCUG